AGCUAGUUGGCGGGGUAAAGGCCCACCAAGGCUACGAUCCGUAGCUGGUUUGAGAGAACGACCAGCCACACUGGGACUAAGACACGGCCCAGACUCCUACGGGAGGCAGCAGUGGGGAAUUUUGGACAAUGGGGGCAACCCUGAUCCAGCCAUGCCGCGUGAGUGAAGAAGGCCUUCGGGUUGUAAAGCUCUUUCGGCCGGAACGAAAUCGCGUACGUGAAUAACGUGCGUGGAUGACGGUACUGGAAGAAGAAGCACCGGCUAACUACGUGCCAGCAGCCGCGGUAAUACGUAGGGACCAAGCGUUGUUCGGAUUUACUGGGCGUAAAGGGCGCGUAGGCGGCGUGGUAAGUCACUUGUGAAAUCUCUGAGCUUAACUCAGAACGGCCAAGUGAUACUGCUGUGCUAGAGUGCAGAAGGGGCAAUCGGAAUUCUUGGUGUAGCGGUGAAAUGCGUAGAUAUCAAGAGGAACACCUGAGGUGAAGACGGGUUGCUGGGCUGACACUGACGCUGAGGCGCGAAAGCCAGGGGAGCAAACGGGAUUAGAUACCCCGGUAGUCCUGGCCCUAAACGAUG
This 576-nucleotide ribosomal RNA is filed under the name uncultured bacterium. Its description in RNAcentral is "bacterial SSU rRNA". It matches the Rfam family "Bacterial small subunit ribosomal RNA", at positions 243 to 811 of the family's 1533-position model. The record is from RNAcentral.